UAGGGAAUCUUCCGCAAUGGGCGAAAGCCUGACGGAGCAACGCCGCGUGAGUGAUGAAGGUCUUCGGAUCGUAAAACUCUGUUAUUAGGGAAGAACAAAUGUGUAAGUAACUAUGCACGUCUUGACGGUACCUAAUCAGAAAGCUACGGCUAACUACGUGCCAGCAGCCGCGGUAAUACGUAGGUGGCAAGCGUUAUCCGGAAUUAUUGGGCGUAAAGCGCGCGUAGGCGGUUUUUUAAGUCUGAUGUGAAAGCCCACGGCUCAACCGUGGAGGGUCAUUGGAAACUGGAAAACUUGAGUGCAGAAGAGGAAAGUGGAAUUCCAUGUGUAGCGGUGAAAAGCGCAGAGAUAUGGAGGAACACCAGUGGCGAAGGCGACUUUCUGGUCUGUAACUGACGCUGAUGUGCGAAAGCGUGGGGAUCAAACAGG
This 429-nucleotide ribosomal RNA is filed under the name Actinomycetes bacterium. RNAcentral describes it as "Actinobacteria bacterium partial 16S ribosomal RNA". It matches the Rfam family "Bacterial small subunit ribosomal RNA", at positions 355 to 776 of the family's 1533-position model. Lineage: Bacteria; Bacillati; Actinomycetota; Actinomycetes. The record is from RNAcentral.